AACGAACGCUGGCGGCGCGUCUUAAACAUGCAAGUCGAACGAUCUGUAGCAAUACAGGGAGUGGCGGACGGGGUGAGGAACACGUAGGAAUCUACCUUGAAGAGCGGGACAACUUUGGGAAACCGGGGCUAAUACCGCAUAGUACAGAGAUGUUAAAGGGCUAGCAAUAGUCGCUUCGAGAUGAGCCUGCGGUCUAUCAGCUUGUUGGUGAGGUAAUGGCUCACCAAGGCUACGACGGAUAGCCGGUCUGAGAGGAUGAUCGGCCACACUGGCACUGAGACACGGGCCAGACUCCUACGGGAGGCAGCAGUUAAGAAUCUUGCGCAAUGGGGGAAACCCUGACGCAGCGACGCCGCGUGAAGGAUGAAGGCUUUCGGGUUGUAAACUUCGGUAGACUGGGAAGAGAACUACGUUCGUUGAGGGCGUAGAGUGACGGUACCAGUCUGAAGCCCCGGCUAAUUACGUGCCAGCAGCCGCGGUAAU
This 483-nucleotide ribosomal RNA is filed under the name uncultured bacterium. RNAcentral describes it as "bacterial SSU rRNA". It matches the Rfam family "Bacterial small subunit ribosomal RNA", at positions 29 to 524 of the family's 1533-position model. The record is from RNAcentral.